ACUCAGUUCAAUGUGAUAUGUCUUUGUAUGAGCCGGGCAGCUAACCCUACAUGCCUUACCUUUCACACUACUUUGCCCACCCAAAAAUGGUCUUAAAUGGAGGCUGUGGGAUUCAGUGGCCAGACUGGGACAAAGCCUUUGCUUUGGGUCUCCAGAAAGAUUUUCUUCACUGUAGUAAUAUGCGAACUGUUCCAAAGAGGGAAGUCUUUGGACACUGGAGGGGACUGAAUUGGAGAAGGAAAGGAAGGAUGAAAUGAAUCUCAGGUACACAGAUGCCUGCAGGAAGUUGUUCAGCACAAUGAAUCACCAAAUAUUUUAGAGAUAAAAUUUCAACAAAAAUUUGAGAAAUAUAUUUUGUGCUUAGUACUGUGCCAAUGGUUGUGAAACAUAUAAAAGAAAUAUAAGAGCCUGGAGGCAGUGGCUCACGCCUGUAAUCCCAACACUUUGGGAGGCUGAGGUGGGCAGAUCACUUGAGGUCGGGAGUUGGAGACCAGCCUGGCUAACAUGAUGAAACCCUGUCUUUACUAAAAAUACAAAAUUAUCUGGGCAUGGUGGUGCAUGCCUGUAAUCCCAGCUACUCAGGAAGCUGAGGCAAGAGAAUCGCUUGAACCCAGGAGGCGGAGGUUGCAGUGAGCUGGGAUCACACCAUUGCACUCCAGCCUGGGUGACCAAGUGAGACUCUGUCUCCAAAAAAAAAAAAAAAAAAAAUGAAAAAAGAAAUAUAAGAGAAGGUCCUUAUGCAGGCCUUUUGCAGAGGAACUUUUGCUGCAUACAAGGGUUACUGGACUUAGAGGUGUGAGACAGCAUUGUAGCCCCAGCUAGUAAGGUAGGUUGCCUUGAGUAGGUGGAACUGACCUUGAUCAGAGAAGAGAGUGGAGGUGUAUUCUGGAGGAAAACUACAUGAACAAAGGGAUGGAAGUGAGGAGAGGGAUCUGCAGCAGGUGUGUUGAUUGCAUUACAGUGGGAAAUAAAUGCUUAGCCAUCAUGAGCUCCUUUACCAGGGAGCUUGGUCAGCUGUGAGGUGUUUUGGCCUCCAUCCUUGCAUCUGGAACAUGAAGAAAUGAAAGUUGUGUUUAAUGAGCAUUAGUUGGAAAGGCAAAAAAAAAAAGCAGAAGGAUUAGAGUAACAGGAUGAUCUGGGAUUCCAGGGCCUUGGCAUAAUACAUUCACAUGGUUCAAAAUGCAAAAAGUACAGAACGAUAUAUGUAUUGUGAAGAAACCACCUUCCACCCUUGUCCCCCCAGCCACUCAGUUUUUCUGCUGGAGACAAAGCUACUGCUUCCUUGGGUAUAACUGUGAAAAUGGUCUCUGCAGAGACAAGCAAAUGUGCUUAUGUACUUUUAAAAAAUAAAAUGGUAAAAUAGUG
Molecule: long non-coding RNA, 1365 nt
Filed under: Homo sapiens (human)
Lineage: Eukaryota; Metazoa; Chordata; Mammalia; Primates; Hominidae
Description: HSALNT0034970
Source: RNAcentral